This 245-nucleotide ribosomal RNA is filed under the name uncultured bacterium. RNAcentral's name for it is "partial 16S ribosomal RNA". It matches the Rfam family "Bacterial small subunit ribosomal RNA", at positions 524 to 768 of the family's 1533-position model. The record is from RNAcentral.
UACGGGGGGAGCAAACGUUGUUCGGAAUUACUGGGCGUAAAGGGCGUGCAGGCGGCCUUGUAAGUGGGAUGUGAAAUGCCCUGGCUCAACCAGGGAACCGCAUCCCAGACUGCAAGGCUUGAGUAUAGGAGAGGAUGGGGGAAUUCCCGGUGUAGCGGUGAAAUGCAUUGAUAUCGGGAGGAACACCAGUGGCGAAGGCGCCCAUCUGGCCUAAUACUGACGCUCAGGCGCGAAAGCUAGGGGAG